Molecule: long non-coding RNA, 357 nt
Organism: Pogoniulus pusillus (Red-fronted tinkerbird)
Lineage: Eukaryota; Metazoa; Chordata; Aves; Piciformes; Lybiidae
Exons: 3
Source: RefSeq, a predicted model, not a curated record
CCAAAUGCUGACUCUGCUCUUCGUGGGGCUGACUUCCCUCCCUUGGGACGUGAGCAGCUCAUGGGUCAGCUCAGUUCCUCACCUCUGUCACAUCCUCUUGGCCUUGGCUCUGCUACCAGCCCCUUUCCUGAGGGACAUUCCAGUGCUUCCUCUCGAAGGAGGAGCAGCCCCUUCAAAAACGAGCUCUGUGCCUGGGCUGUGCCCCCACUGCGCUCCUCCUGCACAGCCCCACGCCAUGCCAACCCCUCGCUGCUGGCCAUGCCCGCCUUGGGCCAGGCUGGCUCAACACGUGGCUGAAAUUCACUCUGAGCUAGGAGCCAGGACAAAGAACCCUUCACUAUCUACAUCUCUCCAAAG